Molecule: ribosomal RNA, 301 nt
Filed under: uncultured bacterium
Lineage: Bacteria
Description: partial 16S ribosomal RNA
Rfam family: Bacterial small subunit ribosomal RNA
Source: RNAcentral
CAGCAGCCGCGGUAAUACGGAGGGGGCUAGCGUUGUUCGGAAUUACUGGGCGUAAAGCGCACGUAGGCGGCUUUGUAAGUUAGAGGUGAAAGCCUGGAGCUCAACUCCAGAAUUGCCUUUAAGACUGCCGAGCUAGCAGGUGAGAGAGGUAAGUGGAAUUCCGAGUGUAGAGGUGAAAUUCGUAGAUAUUCGGAAGAACACCAGUGGCGAAGGCGGCUUACUGGCUCAUACUGGACGCUGAGGUGCGAAAGCGUGGGGAGCAAACAGGAUUAGAGACCCCUGUAGUCCCUGUCUCUUAUAC